RNAcentral lists this ribosomal RNA (253 nucleotides) under uncultured bacterium. RNAcentral describes it as "partial 16S ribosomal RNA". It matches the Rfam family "Bacterial small subunit ribosomal RNA", at positions 524 to 776 of the family's 1533-position model. The record is from RNAcentral.
UACGUAGGCAGCAAGCGUUGUUCGGAGUUACUGGGCGUAAAGGGUGCGUAGGCGGCUUUUUAAGUUUGGUGUGAAAUCUCCCGGCUCAACUGGGAGGGUGCGCCGAAUACUGAGAGGCUAGAGUGUGGGAGAGGAAAGUGGAAUUCCUGGUGUAGCGGUGAAUUGCGUAGAUAUCAAGAGGAACACCAGUGGCGAAGGCGAGUCCCUGGACAACACCUGACACUGAGGCACGAAAGCUAGGGGAGCAAACAGG